GAUGAACGCUGGCGGCGUGCCUAAUACAUGCAAGUCGAGCGAACGGACGAGAAGCUUGCUUCUCUGAUGUUAGCGGCGGACGGGUGAGUAACACGUGGAUAACCUACCUAUAAGACUGGGAUAACUUCGGGAAACCUUAGCUAAUACCGGAUAAUAUUUUGAACCGCAUGGUUCAAAAGUGAACGACGGUCUUGCUGUCACUUAUAGAUGGAUCCGCGCUGCAUUAGCUAGUUGGUAAGGUAACGGCUUACCAAGGCAACGAUGCAUAGCCGACCUGAGAGGGUGAUCGGCCACACUGGAACUGAGACACGGUCCAGACUCCUACGGGAGGCAGCAGUAGGGAAUCUUCCGCAAUGGGCGAAAGCCUGACGGAGCCACGCCGCGUGAGUGAUGAAGGUCUUCGGAUCGUAAAACUCUGUUAUUAGGGAAGAACAUCUGUGUAAGUAACUGUGCACAUCUUGACGGUACCUAAUCAGAAAGCCACGGCUAACUACGUG
This 497-nucleotide ribosomal RNA is filed under the name uncultured bacterium. RNAcentral's name for it is "partial 16S ribosomal RNA". It matches the Rfam family "Bacterial small subunit ribosomal RNA", at positions 28 to 507 of the family's 1533-position model. The record is from RNAcentral.